RNAcentral lists this ribosomal RNA (497 nucleotides) under uncultured bacterium. RNAcentral describes it as "partial 16S ribosomal RNA". It matches the Rfam family "Bacterial small subunit ribosomal RNA", at positions 28 to 507 of the family's 1533-position model. The record is from RNAcentral.
GAUGAACGCUGGCGGCGUGCCUAAUACAUGCAAGUCGAGCGAACAGAUGAGGAGCUUGCUCCUCUGACGUUAGCGGCGGACGGGUGAGUAACACGUGGAUAACCUACCUAUAAGACUGGGAUAACUUCGGGAAACCGGAGCUAAUACCGGAUAAUAUAUUGAACCGCAUGGUUCAAUAGUGAAAGACGGUUUUGCUGUCACUUAUAGAUGGAUCCGCGCCGCAUUAGCUAGUUGGUAAGGUAACGGCUUACCAAGGCAACGAUGCGUAGCCGACCUGAGAGGGGGAUCGGCCACACUGGAACUGAGACACGGUCCAGACUCCUACGGGAGGCAGCAGUAGGGAAUCGUCCGCAAUGGGCGAAAGCCUGACGGAGCAACGCCGCGUCAGUGAUGAAGGUCUUCGGAUCGUAAAACUCUGUUAUUAGGGAAGAACAAAUGUGUAAGUAACUAUGCACGUCUUGACGGUACCCAAUCAGAAAGCCACGGCUAACUACGUG